GGUUUAUUUAUUUAUUUGUUUUGUAUAAAAUUAUUAUUGAAGCUUGUGAUGCCAUGUAGUAAAAACACUAAUUUCAGGUAAGUGAACAUAUUCAAGCUUGACAAAGGGAUUGGACAAAAAAACACCUAUAUAUACUGUAGCACACAUUCUUGAAGACAGGGAUCAUUUUUAAUGCAAAUGUUAACUAUAGAUAUAUAGAUAGCAUUUGUAUAAAAUACAAACGCCUACCUGCUACUUUUGUUUGGUUGGUAUGACUUUCUUUUCUUUGCAAAAAACAAUUAAAGUUUUGAAAUUUAUUUAUUAAAGUCCACAUCUUGCGCUUCGAGCGUGACAUUUUGGUGGAGGUGCAUUGCACGUUUAUUUUUACACACCAGGGAGCGCUGUGAAACAAUCCUCUUUUUUUAAAAUAUCAAACGAUAGGCGUCGCUGUUAAUCAUUUUUUUGUUCAGGCUUUGAAUUAUUUGGUGACCACAUUUUUCUCGCUGCCACUACGAGGCAGAGGCGUCAGUAUGCAGACAGAGGAACUCUUCCCUUCCCUCCAGGAUUACUCACAAACACCAGCCUCUUUCAUAUCAUGAGAUAUACUAACACACCAGCACCGGCAGUUUCACCACAUAUCAUCUUUAAGAAACGGACAUAAACUCAGUCUCAACGUGUUUGUGUUUCGAACGGGUCGAUCCGUACCCUGUUAGCCAUGUUCGAUGGAGCUUUCUAUCGGAUUAAAGUGACCGUGAAAUAAAACAGCAACAAAAAACGACUGAAUUGUGUUGGAAGGACAGUAUCCGGCCUCCGAAGAAACAACGAGGUCAGGGGAUCUGAAAAAAUUAUCUAUAUUCUAUUUCUGGCUUCUGUGAGAGGAGUGUUUAAUGGAAAAGAUGAAGAAGUUCAAACGGCGGCUUUCACUCACCCUGCGCGGGAGCCAGACCAUCGACGAGUCGCUGUCUGAGCUGGCCGAGCAAAUGACUGUGGAAGAGAACAGCAGCAAAGAUAAUGAGCCGAUUGUGAGGAACGGCAGGCCCCCCACGUCACACAGCAUGCAUGCCUUUCUCCACCAGUACACCAGCUCCUUCAAGAAACCCCCCCUGAGAAGGCCACACAGUGUGAUCGGUGGAAGCCUCAGCUCCUUCAUGCCCAUGACUAGGAAUGGAAGCAGACUGGACAUUGUACAUGAGAAUCUGAAGAUCGGCUCCGAUGGAGAAAGUGACCAGGCGUCUGGAACAUCGUCGGACGAGGUCCAGUCUCCUACGGGAGUGUGUCUGAGGAAUCGAGUGCAAAGGAGGAUCUCCAUGGAGGACCUCAACAAGCGUCUGUCGCUGCCUGCAGACAUUAGGAUACCAGACGGGUAUCUGGAGAAGCUGCAGCUGAACAGCCCACAAUUCGACCAGCCAAUGAGUAGGCGGUCUCGCAGAGCAUCACUGUCUGAAAUUGGAUUCGGAAAGCUCGAGACCUACAUCAAGUUGGACAAACUGGGAGAGGGAACUUAUGCAACUGUUUUUAAGGGUAGGAGUAAACUGACAGACAACCUGGUAGCACUAAAGGAGAUCAGACUGGAACAUGAAGAGGGAGCACCCUGCACAGCUAUCCGAGAAGUGUCGUUACUUAAAGAUCUGAAGCAUGCGAACAUCGUCACCUUACAUGAUAUCAUUCACACGGACAAAUCGUUGACACUAGUCUUUGAAUACCUGGAUAAGGAUCUGAAGCAAUACAUGGAUGACUGUGGAAACAUUAUGAGUAUGCACAAUGUAAAGAUCUUUUUAUUUCAAAUUUUACGAGGUUUGGCUUACUGUCAUAGGAGGAAAGUUUUACAUCGAGACCUGAAGCCACAGAACUUGCUCAUUAAUGAGAGAGGGGAACUAAAAUUAGCUGACUUUGGAUUAGCAAGAGCCAAGUCAGUCCCUACAAAGACCUACUCCAAUGAGGUUGUCACGUUAUGGUACAGACCCCCUGAUGUUCUCUUGGGAUCUUCAGAGUAUUCCACCCAGAUUGACAUGUGGGGAGUGGGCUGUAUAUUUUACGAAAUGGCUGCCGGAAGGCCUCUGUUCCCUGGUUCAACAGUAGAAGAUGAAUUGCACUUAAUUUUUAGGCUUUUAGGCACUCCAUCAGAAGACAACUGGCCAGGGAUUUCGUCCAUUGAAGAAUUUAAAUCAUACAACUUUCCCAAAUAUAAACCACAGCCUUUGAUUAACCACGCACCCAGAUUGGAUUCUGAAGGAAUUGAACUGGUCUUAAUGUUUUUGAAAUAUGAAUCUAAGAAGCGAAUCUCUGCAGAUGAGUCAAUGAAACAAGCCUACUUCAAAAGCCUUGGAACACGGGUACACACCUUGCCUGAGACCAUCAUGAACCGAAAUGUUGAUGUAUCUGGGAAAACCAUUUCUCCAUACAAACUGGCGUGUCAAUAUUUACUCUGAAGGAAAUCCAGCUACAGAAGGACCCAGGCUUUCGAAGUUCAUCAUACCCAGAAACAGGACCUGGCAAAAACAGAAGACAGAGUAUGCUCUUUUAGACUCUUUGAUAACACAGUUUAGUAUACAUGACCUUUUUCUGUUUAUCUAAACCAACCAAGCAACCAUCCAGUCAAGGACUUAUUUGAAGGCAUCUCCUUGUGAUCAGUAGCGUGGACAUCUUGGCAAGACUUCUCUGCAUCAACACUGCCCUUUUUACAAAGGUGUCUCAUUUCCUGUCAGGCAUGUGAACUGUGUUUUAUACUCACCUGUCACAGUGUGACAUUAUUUUGUACAGAUGGUUUUAAGGUUCUCCUCUGCUGUUAGAGCCAGUGAGGUUAUAGCUGCUGCAGUUAUUGAGCAGGACUAAAACACAGUGUGUUAUUUAUUGUGGAAACAUUUGCUGCUAAACCACUACUGUCUAUAUUUAACACGUUGGAAUAGCUGAAGACGUUGCAGUGGCUUUUAUCAUGUGAACUGGUUUGUCUCUUCUCUGCGACCUGUGUUGAAUUGUUGAAAUUUUGUACUUUUUUUUUGGGGGGGGGGGGUGUUUUUUAAAUUCUAGUGUCAGCAUUGCUUGGCUACAGAAAGUGAAUUCAUGGACCAUGCCUACCAACCUUCCUUCUGUACUUGGCACACACAUGUGUAUGAAUCCUAAUUUUUUCUUCAGUUUUCUUCAUACAUGCAGUUUUCAUUUGAAUGAAUGUAUGGAUGUAUUCUAAAUGGAAACAGUGCUCUAUAUCCAGAAAGUGUUGGUCUUCUGAUAGGGUUCAACUGCAUUUUGAUCAACAAGUAUGUGUAUUUAUUUAAGUAAUUAGGGAGAUUUUCACAAAAAAAAACUAACAGUAGGUCUCAAACCAUAAAAAUACCUAGAUUUUAUUUAGGGAAACCCCUGAGAAACAAUUAAAUAAGAAACUCCCCAUGCUUGGUUUUACAUCAUUCCAAUAUUUUUGCACCUUUCCUAAACAGGUGAAGCACACAGUUUAAGAAUACACUGGAACAUGGUAAUAACAAUGGGUAUCAAGAUUGAGUAUGACAAGAUGUGAUCAGCUUACUUAAUUAACCUCUAUAGAAGAGAAUGAGAUGUACCUUUCUGAACUGUUGCAUGUCAUUUCUUCUUCAUUUUGUAAUAAUUUCCCUACCUUGCUAAUGCAACUCGGUGAGUAUUAAGUACGCCUUGGCAGCAGUAAUUUGUAUGCAUUUAUUUGCCUUUAAGAAUUGAAUUGUUUAGUGCAUCUGAAAUGUCUGAUCACUUAUAGGGAUAAACACAGUUUUGAGAGUUCAUUUCUAGCAUUCACUGUAAACGCAUUCAGGGGUCCUACCAUUUCUGCUUAUGAAUAUAAAACCAUGUAGUUAUUUAACAGUAUUAAGAGAAUGUUGUAUGUUACAUUUUAACUUUAUUUGUGAAUUGUGAUCGUGGCAUGUUGGGGUAAAUGUGUUUUAUUAGUAUAUUGUGUUUUUUUGCUAAAAACAAAGGUUUCAAUUGGAAUUUUGCUAAAAAACAAAACAAACAAAAAAAACAGUUUAUUGUGUAAUGAUAUGCAUUGGACCACUACUCUUUUUCAGCAUUUGUAUAUGUAAAAAAAAAAACAAAAAAAAAAGAUUUCAAAUUGAAAUUGUAGGCUUAACAAACUGCUGUGAUGUUUGACAGUAAUGUAUUAAUAUUGUACUUUUUUCAAGUAUAAAAACUACAUGAUCUUACCA
Acipenser ruthenus (sterlet) is the source of this 4145-nucleotide RNA transcript. It is a transcript of the gene named cyclin-dependent kinase 17, with no coding region annotated. NCBI's taxonomy places the organism in Eukaryota, Metazoa, Chordata, Actinopteri, Acipenseriformes, Acipenseridae. The record is from RefSeq and is a predicted model, not a curated record. The transcript has 18 exons.